CCACGAACAACGCAAAAAAAAAAUAAACAACAUUCUACAAAAAAGCGUUCCUACAAAGGCUUUUUUCUUCAUAAAAAUUGCCCAUGAGGUAUGGAAAUCGUCUAUUAGAAUGGAGAGUAAAUAAUGGCCCCGGAUUUAAUCCGGCCUUUUAUGUCGUCGGUCUUGGGUGCAGUGUCACUCUCCCCCUUCAUCUUCUUUUAGACGAGGGCUGUGGGUGGGAUUGCAAUGAUUGGCGGGACAU
Small RNA from Blastomyces gilchristii SLH14081, 241 nucleotides. It matches the Rfam family "A. fumigatus sRNA Afu_182". Lineage: Eukaryota; Fungi; Ascomycota; Eurotiomycetes; Onygenales; Ajellomycetaceae. The record is from Rfam.